AGACUCACACACCCUGUUUCUAAUCAACAAAGGACUGAGUGAUUAAGGCGGGAAAUAUGAGAUCUUUGUCCAUUUUGCUCAUUCUCCUAAGCGUCUCACCUGGCAUCCUUUCCAGUCCACAGCUAAUCGAGUCUGGCCCAGGAGUGGUGAAGCCAGGCGAGUCCUUCAAACUGACCUGCACUAUCUCUGGUUUCCAAGUCAGUGACUAUCACUGGGUCUGGAACCGACAGCCUCCAGGGAAAGGCCUGGAGUUUAUUGGUGCUAUUCGGAGCUCUGCAGCUGGAGGAACCACCUAUUAUAACCCAGCAUUCAGUAGUCGGAUUUCUGUCACCAGGGACACCUCCAGAAAUGAAGUAUAUCUUCAGCUGAAUUCCCCGACAGCUGCAGACACCGCUGUGUAUUUUUGUGCACGAGACACAGUGAAGUAA
Non-coding RNA from Podarcis raffonei (Aeolian wall lizard), 428 nucleotides. The record is from the annotation of a RefSeq genome assembly. Lineage: Eukaryota; Metazoa; Chordata; Lepidosauria; Squamata; Lacertidae.